GCACUAAGCUUCAGUCUAGAGUUGACCGUACCGCAAACCGACACAGGUGGGCAGGAUGAAAAUUCUAAGGCGCUUGAGAGAACUCAGGAGAAGGAACUCGGCAAAUUAACACCGUAACUUCGGGAGAAGGUGUGCCCCGGUAGCGUGUAGAGACUUGCUCUCGAAGCGCGAUGGGGUUGCAGUGAAAUGGUGGCUGCGACUGUUUAAUAAAGACACAGCACUCUGCAAACACGAAAGUGGACGUAUAGGGUGUGACGCCUGCCCGGUGCCGGAAGGUUAAGUGAUGGGGUGCAAGCUCUUGAUCGAAGCCCCGGUAAACGGCGGCCGUAACAAUAACGGUCCUAAGGUAGCGAAAUUCCUUGUCGGGUAAGUUCCGACCUGCACGAAUGGCGUAACGAUGGCCACACUGUCUCCUCCUGGGACUCAGCGAAGUUGAAAUGUUUGUGAAGAUGCAAUCUACCCGCGGCUAGACGGAAAGACCCCAUGAACCUUUACUGUAGCUUUGCAUUGGACUUUGAACCGGUUUGUGUAGGAUAGGUGGGAGACUGUGAAGCCGGGACGCUAGUUUCGGUGGAGUCAACCUUGAAAUACCACCCUGAUUUGUUUGAGGUUCUAACCUUGGUCCGUGAAUCCGGAUCGGGGACCGUGCAUGGUAGGCAGUUUGACUGGGGCGGUCUCCUCCCAAAAGGUAACGGAGGAGUACGAAGGUACGCUUAGGGCGGUCGGACAUCGCCCACAAAGUGCAAUGGCAAAAGCGUGCUUGACUGCGAGACCCACAAGUCGAGCAGGUACGAAAGUAGGUCAUAGUGAUCCGGUGGUUCUGUAUGGAAGGGCCAUCGCUCAACGGAUAAAAGGUACUCUGGGGAUAACAGGCUAAUUCCUCCCAAGAGUUCAUAUCGACGGGGGAGUUUGGCACCUCGAUGUCGGCUCAUCACAUCCUGGGGCUGUAGUCGGUCCCAAGGGUAUGGCUGUUCGCCAUUUAAAGUGGUACGCGAGCUGGGUUUAAAACGUCGUGAGACAGUUUGGUCCCUAUCUGCCGUGGGCGCUGGAAAUUUGAAGGGGGCUGCUCCUAGUACGAGAGGACCGGAGUGGACGAACCUCUGGUGUACCGGUUAUGACGCCUGUCGUAUCGCCGGGUAGCUAAGUUCGGAAGAGAUAAACGCUGAAAGCAUCUAAGCGUGAAACUCGCCUUAAGAUAAGAUUUCCCGGAGUCUUGAACUCCCUGAAGGGUCGUCGAAGACCACGACGUUGAUAGGUCAGGUGUGGAAGCGCAGCAAUGCGUUAAGCUAACUGAUACUAAUUGCCCGUGCGGCUUGAUCC
Molecule: ribosomal RNA, 1320 nt
Filed under: metagenome
Description: bacterial LSU rRNA
Rfam family: Bacterial large subunit ribosomal RNA
Source: RNAcentral